Molecule: ribosomal RNA, 253 nt
Filed under: uncultured bacterium
Lineage: Bacteria
Description: partial 16S ribosomal RNA
Rfam family: Bacterial small subunit ribosomal RNA
Source: RNAcentral
UACGAACUGUGCGAACGUUAUUCGGAAUCACUGGGCUUACAGGGUGCGUAGGCGGCUCAACAAGUCAGGUGUGAAAGCCCCCGGCUCAACCGGGGAACUGCGCUUGAAACUGUUAGGCUCGAGUCAGCUAGAGGUACACGGAACUUCCAGUGGAGCGGUGAAAUGUGUUGAUAUUGGAAGGAACACCGGAGGCGAAAGCGGUGUACUGGGGCUGGUCUGACGCUGAGGCACGAAAGCGUGGGGAGCAAACAGG